This is a long non-coding RNA of Astyanax mexicanus (Mexican tetra), 281 nucleotides long. RefSeq lists it as uncharacterized. NCBI's taxonomy places the organism in Eukaryota, Metazoa, Chordata, Actinopteri, Characiformes, Acestrorhamphidae. The record is from RefSeq and is a predicted model, not a curated record. The transcript is spliced from 3 exons.
ACAGGUGAUGGUGAGGUUGGUACAGGUGGUAUAGUGAGUGUGACUGUGAGGUUGAGAGUGGUACAGGUGGUAUAAUGUGGGUGAUUGUGUGGGUGAGGGUGGUACAGGUGGUAUAGUGUGGGUGGUACAGGUGAGGGUGGUACAGGUGGUAUAGUGAGGGUGGUACAGGUGAGGGUGGUACAGGUGGUAUAGUGAGGGUGGUACAGGUGAGGGUGGUACAGGUGGUAUAGUGAGGGUGGUACAGGUGAGGGUGGUACAGGUGGUAUAGUGAGGGUGGUACA